GAGAAAUAGAGGAGAGAGGGGAGGAGAGGGGAAAAAGAGAUGGGUCGGUCCGAUUCGAUCAGGACUAGUCCAGGUUCGAUUCGGCCGGUUUAAUUAAAGAUAUUCAAAAUUUGAUUUUUGUUCUGUCCUAGUACCCAAAACGAAGCUCAAAAAUUUAGAAAAAAAAUUAGAGAAAACUCAGAAAAAUUUAUGGAGUCUAAAUAUAUUUUUAAACUUGUCACGUGGUCUUUAAAUUAAU
Molecule: unclassified non-coding RNA, 238 nt
Filed under: Hevea brasiliensis (rubber tree)
Lineage: Eukaryota; Viridiplantae; Streptophyta; Magnoliopsida; Malpighiales; Euphorbiaceae
Source: RNAcentral